AUGAUGAAGAGAUGUAUUGUGUGUCUGGGAGGGGUAUAUGUUAAAACGACCUGGUUUGAUGAUGAUGAUGAAGAGAUGUAUUGUGUGUCUGGGAGGGGUAUAUGUUAAAACGACCUGGUUUGAUGAUGAUGAUGAUGAAGAUAUCUGGGAGUGUUAUGGUUUGUAUCUGCAACAAUACAUCAAACAGUGAGAAUAAAAGAUGACAUCUUGA
This is a non-coding RNA of Oncorhynchus mykiss (rainbow trout), 211 nucleotides long. Lineage: Eukaryota; Metazoa; Chordata; Actinopteri; Salmoniformes; Salmonidae. The record is from RefSeq and is a predicted model, not a curated record.